Molecule: ribosomal RNA, 464 nt
Filed under: uncultured bacterium
Lineage: Bacteria
Description: partial 16S ribosomal RNA
Rfam family: Bacterial small subunit ribosomal RNA
Source: RNAcentral
CCUACGGGAGGCAACAGUAGGGAAUUUUCGGCAAUGGGCGGAACCCUGACCGAGCAACGCCGCGUGAAGGAAGAAGGAAUUCGUUCUGUAAACUUCUGUUAUAAAGGAAGAAAGACGGAUGGAGGAAAUGACAUCCGAGUGACGGUACUUUAUGAGAUAGCCUCGGCUAACUCCGUGCCAGCAGCCGCGGGAGUACGUAGGUGGCAAGGGUUAUCGGGAAUUAUUGGGCGUAAAGAGGGAGCAGGCGGCAGCAAAGGUCUGUGGUGAAAGACUGAAGCUUAACUUCAGUAAGCCAUAGAAACCGGGCAGCUAGAGUGCAGGAGAGGUACGUGGAAUUCCAUGUGUAGCGGUGAAAUGCGUAGAUAUAAGGAAGAACACCAGUGGCGAAGGCGACGAUCUGGCCUGCAACUGACGCUCAGGCCCGAAAGCGUGGGGAGCAAAUAGGAUUAGAUACCCCAGUAGUC